Molecule: unclassified non-coding RNA, 170 nt
Filed under: uncultured Ophiocordycipitaceae
Lineage: Eukaryota; Fungi; Ascomycota; Sordariomycetes; Hypocreales
Description: sequence contains ITS2
Source: RNAcentral
CAACUCCCCUCGAGGCCCCCCGCACCCGGCGGGCCCCGGUGUUGGGGGACGGCCGCCGCGCCGCCCCCGAAAUGCAGUGGCGACCCCGCCGCAGCCUCCCCUGCGCAGUAGCACACGCCUCGCACCGGAGCGCGGACAGGGCCAAGCCGUAAAACGCCCCGACCUCCAAG